GAUGAACGCUGGCGGCGUGCCUAAUACAUGCAAGUCGAGCGAACAGAUGAGAAGCUUGCUUCUCUGAUGUUAGCGGCGGACGGGUGAGUAACACGUGGGUAACCUACCUAUAGGACUGGGAUAACUCCGGGAAACCGGGGCUAAUACCGGAUAAUAUUUUGAACCGCAUGGUUCAAUAGUGAAAGACGGUUUCGGCUGUCACUUACAGAUGGACCCGCGCCGUAUUAGCUAGUUGGUAAGGUAACGGCUUACCAAGGCGACGAUACGUAGCCGACCUGAGAGGGUGAUCGGCCACACUGGAACUGAGACACGGUCCAGACUCCUACGGGAGGCAGCAGUAGGGAAUCUUCCGCAAUGGGCGAAAGCCUGACGGAGCAACGCCGCGUGAGUGAUGAAGGUCUUCGGAUCGUAAAACUCUGUUGUUAGGGAAGAACAAAUUUGUUAGUAACUGAACAAGUCUUGACGGUACCUAACCAGAAAGCCACGGCUAACUACGUGCCAGCAGCCGCCGUAA
Molecule: ribosomal RNA, 514 nt
Filed under: uncultured bacterium
Lineage: Bacteria
Description: partial 16S ribosomal RNA
Rfam family: Bacterial small subunit ribosomal RNA
Source: RNAcentral